This 491-nucleotide ribosomal RNA is filed under the name uncultured bacterium. RNAcentral describes it as "partial 16S ribosomal RNA". It matches the Rfam family "Bacterial small subunit ribosomal RNA", at positions 29 to 506 of the family's 1533-position model. The record is from RNAcentral.
AGUGAACGCUGGCGGUAGGCCUAACACAUGCAAGUCGAACGGCAGCACAGUAAGAGCUUGCUCUUACGGGUGGCGAGUGGCGGACGGGUGAGGAAUACAUCGGAAUCUACUUUUUCGUGGGGGAUAACGUAGGGAAACUUACGCUAAUACCGCAUACGACCUACGGGUGAAAGCAGGGGAUCUUCGGACCUUGCGCGAUUGAAUGAGCCGAUGUCGGAUUAGCUAGCUGGCGGGGUAAAGGCCCACCAAGGCGACGAUCCGUAGCUGGUCUGAGAGGAUGAUCAGCCACACUGGAACUGAGACACGGUCCAGACUCCUACGGGAGGCAGCAGUGGGGAAUAUUGGACAAUGGGCGCAAGCCUGAUCCAGCCAUACCGCGUGGGUGAAGAAGGCCUUCGGGUUGUAAAGCCCUUUUGUUGGGAAAGAAAAGCAGCAGGUUAAUACCCCGCUGUUCUGACGGUACCCAAAGAAUAAGCACCGGCUAACUUCGU